RNAcentral lists this ribosomal RNA (209 nucleotides) under uncultured bacterium. RNAcentral describes it as "partial 16S ribosomal RNA". It matches the Rfam family "Bacterial small subunit ribosomal RNA", at positions 368 to 568 of the family's 1533-position model. The record is from RNAcentral.
GUAAUGGGGGCGAAGCCUGAUGCAGCGACGCCGCGUGAGUGAUGAAGGCCUUCGGGUUGUAAAGCUCUUUCGGUGGGGAAGAAAAUCCUCGUGCUAAUACCUCAGGGUCUUGACGUAUCCCAUACAAGAACCACCGGCUAACUCUGUGCCAGCAGCCGCGGUAAUACAAAGGGUGCGAGCGUUAAUCGAAAUUACUGGGCGUAUCGCGC